GGGGAUGGGGCGGCCUGGAUCCUGGGCCCAAGCAGAUGUGCGGGAGCGCGCGCACGAGUGCGCGCAUGCGCGUGGGCCAGGGCCAGAGCCCGGUGAGGGACACAGCUGAGGCUGCGGCGGUGCUGUGAGUUGGCUCCCAGACCGCCUGCCGCCCCAAGCCCCCAAGUGUCUGGGCCAGCCAGGGACUGACGCCCACCUCAGCCCCCGACCGGGGACAUGCUGCUGCCUGGCGCCUGCGACUCGGUAGCCAUGGCAUUGGCGGUAGGGGUAGCGGUAGUGCUCACGGGGCGCUCGCGGGAGCGUGGGCGGAGCCCGCGUGGAGAAGACUGGGAGCCACGAGCCUCCAGCCUCGGAGGGUGGCGGCCCUGCUGCUCCUGCUGCUCCUGGAGCCAGAGAUCAGGGCGCGGGACGCGCUUCCCAGGCGCCUCUGUCUUUGGCCGCGCUGGUGGAGUGCCAGCACUGGCUGGAGCAGAGCACGAUGCGAUGCCCCCCCGGCGCCCCGGAAAGACCAUCUGGGAGAAGCCUAAAGGUGGAGCAGCUGAGACCCACAGCCUCCCUCCAGGACCUGCCUCAGUCGCGGUGCUGCCAAGAUGCACAGUGGCUCUGAGGGGAUGAAGACUUGGCAGUCUAGUCAGCGACUAACCUGGAUGCGGCAGGUUCCUGAAAGUACCACAUGAUCUCUGCUUGUUUCCCUCCUCUCUUCCUUUGCCAUUUGAAUACCCACCAUACAUGAAGAGGCUCAGGUGAUUGAUGUCUGAGAACAGGAUGCUGACUGUUCCCUCAGAUGCACAGUGGCUCUGAGGGGAUGAAGACUUGGCAGUCUAGUCAGCGACUAACCUGGAUGCGGCAGGUUCCUGAAAGUACCACAUGAUCUCUGCUUGUUUCCCUCCUCUCUUCCUUUGCCAUUUGAAUACCCACCAUACAUGAAGAGGCUCAGGUGAUUGAUGUCUGAGAACAGGAUGCUGACUGUUCCCUCAGAUGCACAGUGGCUCUGAGGGGAUGAAGACUUGGCAGUCUAGUCAGCGACUAACCUGGAUGCGGCAGGUUCCUGAAAGUACCACAUGAUCUCUGCUUGUUUCCCUCCUCUCUUCCUUUGCCAUUUGAAUACCCACCAUACAUGAAGAGGCUCAGGUGAUUGAUGUCUGAGAACAGGAUGCUGACUGUUCCCUCAGAUGCACAGUGGCUCUGAGGGGAUGAAGACUUGGCAGUCUAGUCAGCGACUAACCUGGAUGCGGCAGGUUCCUGAAAGUACCACAUGAUCUCUGCUUGUUUCCCUCCUCUCUUCCUUUGCCAUUUGAAUACCCACCAUACAUGAAGAGGCUCAGGUGAUUGAUGUCUGAGAACAGGAUGCUGACUGUUCCCUCAGAUGCACAGUGGCUCUGAGGGGAUGAAGACUUGGCAGUCUAGUCAGCGACUAACCUGGAUGCGGCAGGUUCCUGAAAGUACCACAUGAUCUCUGCUUGUUUCCCUCCUCUCUUCCUUUGCCAUUUGAAUACCCACCAUACAUGAAGAGGCUCAGGUGAUUGAUGUCUGAGAACAGGAUGCUGACUGUUCCCUCAGGUAAGAGUUAAGUGCCAGACCUGGGCAAACCAUUUUGAGUACCUCCUAGCUCAUGUAUUUUAACUGCCUCUUUGUGGAGUGUAAACCUCUUAGACCUUAACCUAGAGGACCUUGGUGCAGAAAAGCUUAGCAGAUGGAGGGGAAAAUGGAAACAGAGUUGGAUAUAGAUGUUAGCCUCAGGGGAAAGAAUGUGGUUUGAGUUGGGAAAUGAGGAGGUGGGUAAAGGGAAGGUGCAGAUAUGUAUCAGGUGGCCCUCCUGCCAUCUCACUCCCUCUCUCUCCAUAGUAAGGAAACAUGAACAAAUAUUAACAGAACGUUCCCCAGGGCAGGUGCUGGCCCCGGUCACAGCCAUUCAUUCGCUUUGUAAUUAACUUGACGGUGUUACUUUAGCAUUAUUGAGUAUUUGAGUAUUAUUAUUUGAGGAGCACUGGGUUCAUGUACAGCCACCUCCCUGGGAAACCAGCUUUGCAAAAGCUUCCUGGGUCUCUUGAGGGGUGACAGGGAGGUGUCCACCUUGGGAGGAGACACCUGCCAGUCCCUGUCCCACUGGCCUGGUCUCUGGAGC
This is a long non-coding RNA of Felis catus (domestic cat), 2125 nucleotides long. RefSeq lists it as uncharacterized. The record is from RefSeq and is a predicted model, not a curated record. The transcript has 6 exons. NCBI's taxonomy places the organism in Eukaryota, Metazoa, Chordata, Mammalia, Carnivora, Felidae.